GGAGACAUGGCUCAGAGGUUAAGAGCAUUGGUUGCUCUUCCAGAGGUCCUGAGUUCAAUUCCCAGCAUCUACA
Mus musculus (house mouse) is the source of this 73-nucleotide non-coding RNA. Lineage: Eukaryota; Metazoa; Chordata; Mammalia; Rodentia; Muridae. The record is from Rfam.